GACGAACGCUGGCGGCGUGCUUAACACAUGCAAGUCGAACGCUGAAGCUUGGUGCUUGCACUGGGUGGAUGAGUGGCGAACGGGUGAGUAAUACGUGAGUAACCUGCCCUUGACUCUGGGAUAAGCCUGGGAAACUGGGUCUAAUACUGGAUAUGACAUGCCACUGCAUGGUGGUGUGUGGAAAGGGUUUUACUGGUUUUGGAUGGGCUCACGGCCUAUCAGCUUGUUGGUGGGGUAAUGGCCUACCAAGGCGACGACGGGUAGCCGGCCUGAGAGGGUGACCGGCCACCCUGGGACUGAGACACGGCCCAGACUCCUACGGGAGGCAGGCGUGGGGAAUAUUGCACAAUGGGCGGAAGCCUGAUGCAGCGACGCCGCGUGAGGGAUGACGGCCUUCGGGUGGGAAACCUCUUUCAGCACGGAAGAAGCGAGAGUGACGGUACGGGCAGAAGAAGCGCCGGCUAACUACGU
This 471-nucleotide ribosomal RNA is filed under the name uncultured bacterium. Its description in RNAcentral is "partial 16S ribosomal RNA". It matches the Rfam family "Bacterial small subunit ribosomal RNA", at positions 28 to 506 of the family's 1533-position model. The record is from RNAcentral.